This 533-nucleotide ribosomal RNA is filed under the name Crocidura olivieri (Olivier's shrew). RNAcentral's name for it is "partial 16S ribosomal RNA". It matches the Rfam family "Bacterial large subunit ribosomal RNA", at positions 1816 to 2586 of the family's 2925-position model. Lineage: Eukaryota; Metazoa; Chordata; Mammalia; Eulipotyphla; Soricidae. The record is from RNAcentral.
CACCUCUAGCAUUACCAGUAUUAGAGGCACUGCCUGCCCAGUGACAUUAGUUAAACGGCCGCGGUAUCCUGACCGUGCAAAGGUAGCAUAAUCAUUUGUUCCUUAAUUAGGGACUUGUAUGAAUGGCCUCACGAGGGUUUAACUGUCUCUUACUUUUAAUCAGUGAAAUUGACCUUCCCGUGAAGAGGCGGGAAUACAAAAAUAAGACGAGAAGACCCUAUGGAGCUUAAAUCAAUAUGUUCAACAGAAUUUAAUUUCAGUCCAAUAGGAAUAAAGAUAUUCUAACUGAACAAUAAAUUUUGGUUGGGGUGACCUCGGAGUAUAACAUAACCUCCGAGCAAUUAAACCAAGACUUACCAGUCAAGGUUAUAUAACUUAUUGAUCCAAUCUUAUUGAUCAACGAAACAAGUUACCCUAGGGAUAACAGCGCAAUCCUAUUUAAGAGUUCAUAUCGACAAUAGGGUUUACGACCUCGAUGUUGGAUCAGGACACCCAAAUGGUGCAGCAGCUAUUAAAGGUUCGUUUGUUCAACG